RNAcentral lists this non-coding RNA (105 nucleotides) under Planctomycetota bacterium. RNAcentral describes it as "Planctomycetes bacterium TPP sequence". It matches the Rfam family "TPP riboswitch aptamer (THI element)". Rfam says of the family: Vitamin B(1) in its active form thiamin pyrophosphate (TPP) is an essential coenzyme that is synthesised by coupling of pyrimidine and thiazole moieties in bacteria. The previously detected thiamin-regulatory element, thi box was extended, resulting in a new, highly conserved RNA secondary structure, the THI element, which is widely distributed in eubacteria and also occurs in some archaea. Lineage: Bacteria; Pseudomonadati; Planctomycetota. The record is from RNAcentral.
CCAGUUAUGCAGGGGUGCCUUGUACCGCUUCGGUGCGGGGCUGAGAAAAUACCCUUAUGACCUGAACAGGAUUAUACCUGCGUAGGAAGCGAUAGAAAAAUAUUC